AUUGGCGCGCAAGGGCAUGUCGGAUCCCUGCUCGAGCAGCGACGGCAUUCCGCGCGCGCCUCUUCAGUUGUUGGCCCAAGUGCGCGUAAGCCUUGGCCGGCGUUGGUCUCCUGUGCUGCAUACCCACGGAUGGGCAUUCGGUCGGCUCAAAAGUCCCGUUCUCGCCUUGUGCCGCGCCGCCUAUCGGUCGGCUGCGGCAUGGGGUGAACUGCGAAGCAUUCGCCGUGGUCCACUUCCCGACCGCUUCAGGCGCCCUCGAGCUUGUUGGCCCACGGCGGCGUGCUUGAUCUCUCGGAUGCGGAAAACCCAGUCGGUACGAGGCCCUCGGGCCUCUAUUUGCCCCGAAACAAAGCGUGUUCCACGCUCGUCCGAACGACUGCCGCUCCCGUUUUGGUCGGGCCCUCGCGUCCCGAUUCAUGCGGCGACGGCGUCGGUGAGGAAUGCUAC
This 447-nucleotide unclassified non-coding RNA is filed under the name Jacaranda mimosifolia. RNAcentral describes it as "partial external transcribed spacer". Lineage: Eukaryota; Viridiplantae; Streptophyta; Magnoliopsida; Lamiales; Bignoniaceae. RNAcentral also lists the same sequence under 1 other name. The record is from RNAcentral.